RNAcentral lists this ribosomal RNA (1642 nucleotides) under uncultured bacterium. RNAcentral describes it as "partial 16S ribosomal RNA". It matches the Rfam family "Bacterial small subunit ribosomal RNA". The record is from RNAcentral.
AAUCAACGCUGGCGGCGUGCCUAACACAUGCAAGUCGAACGCGAAAGUGGAGCAAUCCAUGAGUAGAGUGGCAAACGGGUGAGUAACGCGUGGGCGACCUACCUUUGAGUGGGGGAUAACCUUCCGAAAGGAGGGCUAAUACCGCAUGACAUCCUGUGUUUGGAUACACGGAGAUCAAAGCCGGGGAUCGUAAGACCUGGCGCUUGGAGAGGGGCCCGCGUCCGAUUAGCUAGUUGGUGAGGUAAUGGCUCACCAAGGCUCCGAUCGGUAUCCGGCCUGAGAGGGCGGACGGACACACUGGAACUGAGACGCGGUCCAGACUCCUACGGGAGGCAGCAGUGGGGAAUUGUUCGCAAUGGGCGCAAGCCUGACGACGCAACGCCGCGUGGAGGAUGAAGAAUUUCGGUUCGUAAACUCCUUUCGACCGAGAUGAACACCUCGCGAUCUAAUACAUCGCGGGGCUGACAGUAUCGAGAGAAGAAGCCCCGGCUAACUCUGUGCCAGCAGCCGCGGUAAUACAGGGGGGGCAAGCGUUGUUCGGAAUUACUGGGCGUAAAGGGUUCGUAGGUGGCCGACUAAGUCAGACGUGAAAUCCCUCAGCUUAACUGGGGAACUGCGUCUGAUACUGGUUGGCUUGAGUGCAGGAGAGGAACGCGGAAUUCCAGGUGUUAGCGGUGAAAUGCGUAGAUAUCUGGAGGAACACCGGUGGCGAANGCGGCGUUCUGGACUGUAACUGACACUGAGGAACGAAAGCCANGGGGACCAAACNGGAUUAGAUACCCCCGGUAGUCCUGGCCCUNAACGAUUCCAGGUGAAGCGGUGAAAAUGCGUAGAUAUCUGNAGNANCNCCGGUGGCGAAGGCGGCGUUUUGGACUGUAACUGACACUGAGGAACGAAAGCCAGGGNAGCAAACGGGAUUAGAUACCCCGGUAGUCCUGGCCNUAAACGAUGAAUGCUUGGUGUGGUGGGUAUCGAUCCCCUGCCGUGCCGAAGUUAACGCAUUAAGCAUUCCGCCUGGGGAGUACGGUCGCAAGGCUGAAACUCAAAGGAAUUGACGGGGGCCCGCACAAGCGGUGGAGCAUGUGGUUUAAUUCGAUGCAACGCGAAGAACCUUACCUACCUUUGAAUCCACAGAACCUAGCAGAGAUGUUGGGGUGCCUUCGGGAACUGUGAGACAGGUGCUGCAUGGCUGUCGUCAGCUCGUGUCGUGAGAUGUUGGGUUAAGUCCCGUAACGAGCGCAACCCUUGUCCUUAGUUGCCAUCAGGUUAUGCUGGGCACUUUAAGGAGACUGCCGGUGAUAAACCGGAGGAAGGUGGGGAUGACGUCAAGUCCUCAUGGCCCUUACAGGUAGGGCUACACACGUGCUACAAUGGUCGGUACAGAGGGAAGCCAACCCGCGAGGGGGAGCGAAUCUCAGAAAGCCGAUCGUAGUCCGGAUUGGAGUCUGCAACUCGACUCCAUGAAGUUGGAAUCGCUAGUAAUCGCGGAUCAGAAUGCCGCGGUGAAUACGUUCCCGGGCCUUGUACACACCGCCCGUCACACCAUGGGAGUGGGUUGUACCAGAAGCAGGUAGACUAACCGCAAGGAGGUCGCCUACCACGGUAUGAUUCAUGACUGGGGUGAAGUCGUAACAAGGUAACC